UCCCCCUUCAGCAGCCAUCUGUCCGCUAAGAGUAGAAGCAUGUCAACUUUUCACGCGGGGAAUUAAUCAACUCCUUUAAUGCUUACUUCUCCCGUCUUUUAUGCUUGAGCUUGGGUCAACAAGAACUGCUACAGAAAGGCCUUUCAUUCAUUUCCACCCCCACCUCCAAAGGAAUGAGAGCCAAUCCUUAGUGCCACAUGUCUCAGAAGCGCUGUGCCUUCUCUGGCAGCAGUCGGGUAGAAAGCUUUCCCCCUCGACUUACAAUCAUCCAGGACAACCAACUGGACAUCCGUGCUGAUUGUAAAACAGUGCUUAUCCCUGAGAGGACAAUCAAGGGAGUUAGAGGAGAAGACGGUUUUCCCGGCACAGGAACAUGACGGAACGCUGCAAACACAGAAUGUCUGGAACUCGGGCAGUGAUUCACCACCCAAUUCUGGAUUCAGAGGCAGGAAGGGGACUGACAGCACAACAAAUGGAAAAUGGCACUGGACCGUCAGUUCAUAGCAUCUCUUGACAGCAGCAGGGAGCCGAAGUCAGUGUCAAGCCACAGAAUCCUGUUUGAAUUUCCAAUGAAAACAUCGCAGAAAUAACCCUAGCAGGAAAGCCUCUCUCUCUCUCUUUUUUUUAACUCCCAAGAUAAUUUAAUUGGGCUUAUCUGGAGUUCAAAGAGCGGUUACAACACAGGCGCUUAAUGUUGA
This is a long non-coding RNA of Acanthopagrus latus (yellowfin seabream), 698 nucleotides long. RefSeq lists it as uncharacterized. The transcript is spliced from 5 exons. NCBI's taxonomy places the organism in Eukaryota, Metazoa, Chordata, Actinopteri, Spariformes, Sparidae. The record is from RefSeq and is a predicted model, not a curated record.